This 553-nucleotide ribosomal RNA is filed under the name Microbacterium paraoxydans. RNAcentral's name for it is "bacterial SSU rRNA". It matches the Rfam family "Bacterial small subunit ribosomal RNA", at positions 79 to 644 of the family's 1533-position model. Lineage: Bacteria; Bacillati; Actinomycetota; Actinomycetes; Micrococcales; Microbacteriaceae. The record is from RNAcentral.
CUUGCUCUGUGGGAUCAGUGGCGAACGGGUGAGUAACACGUGAGCAACCUGCCCCUGACUCUGGGAUAAGCGCUGGAAACGGCGUCUAAUACUGGAUAUGUGACGUGACCGCAUGGUCUGCGUUUGGAAAGAUUUUUCGGUUGGGGAUGGGCUCGCGGCCUAUCAGCUUGUUGGUGAGGUAAUGGCUCACCAAGGCGUCGACGGGUAGCCGGCCUGAGAGGGUGACCGGCCACACUGGGACUGAGACACGGCCCAGACUCCUACGGGAGGCAGCAGUGGGGAAUAUUGCACAAUGGGCGAAAGCCUGAUGCAGCAACGCCGCGUGAGGGAUGACGGCCUUCGGGUUGUAAACCUCUUUUAGCAGGGAAGAAGCGAAAGUGACGGUACCUGCAGAAAAAGCGCCGGCUAACUACGUGCCAGCAGCCGCGGUAAUACGUAGGGCGCAAGCGUUAUCCGGAAUUAUUGGGCGUAAAGAGCUCGUAGGCGGUUUGUCGCGUCUGCUGUGAAAUCCCGAGGCUCAACCUCGGGCCUGCAGUGGGUACGGGCAGACUAG